GAAAGACGACUGAGGUGG
Molecule: unclassified non-coding RNA, 18 nt
Filed under: Dictyostelium discoideum
Lineage: Eukaryota; Evosea; Eumycetozoa; Dictyosteliales; Dictyosteliaceae
Source: RNAcentral